Molecule: ribosomal RNA, 254 nt
Filed under: uncultured bacterium
Lineage: Bacteria
Description: partial 16S ribosomal RNA
Rfam family: Bacterial small subunit ribosomal RNA
Source: RNAcentral
UACGUAGGUGGCAAGCGUUGUCCGGAUUUAUUGGGUUUAAAGGGUGCGUAGGCGGCUUGAUAAGUCAGCGGUAAAAGGUAGCAGCUUAACUGUUUUACCUGCCGUUGAUACUGUCGAGCUUGAAUUAACUGGAGGCAGAUAGAACUCCUGAUGUAGCGGUGAAAUGCAUAGAUAUCAGGAAGAAUACCGAUUGCGAAGGCAGUCUGCUGUGGUUUUAUUGACGCUGAGGCACGAAAGCAUGGGGAUCAAACAGG